This 1017-nucleotide ribosomal RNA is filed under the name uncultured organism. RNAcentral's name for it is "bacterial SSU rRNA". It matches the Rfam family "Bacterial small subunit ribosomal RNA", at positions 355 to 1375 of the family's 1533-position model. The record is from RNAcentral.
UGAGGAAUAUUGGUCAAUGGACGAGAGUCUGAACCAGCCAAGUAGCGUGAAGGAUGACUGCCCUAUGGGUUGUAAACUUCUUUUAUACGGGAAUAAAGUGAGGCACGUGUGCCUUUUUGUAUGUACCGUAUGAAUAAGGAUCGGCUAACUCCGUGCCAGCAGCCGCGGUAAUACGGAGGAUCCGAGCGUUAUCCGGAUUUAUUGGGUUUAAAGGGAGCGUAGGCGGACGCUUAAGUCAGUUGUGAAAGUUUGCGGCUCAACCGUAAAAUUGCAGUUGAUACUGGGUGUCUUGAGUACAGUAGAGGCAGGCGGAAUUCGUGGUGUAGCGGUGAAAUGCUUAGAUAUCACGAAGAACUCCGAUUGCGAAGGCAGCUUGCUGGACUGUAACUGACGCUGAUGCUCGAAAGUGUGGGUAUCAAACAGGAUUAGAUACCCUGGUAGUCCACACAGUAAACGAUGAAUACUCGCUGUUUGCGAUAUACAGUAAGCGGCCAAGCGAAAGCGUUAAGUAUUCCACCUGGGGAGUACGCCAGCAACGGUGAAACUCAAAGGAAUUGACGGGGGCCCGCACAAGCGGAGGAACAUGUGGUUUAAUUCGAUGAUACGCGAGGAACCUUACCCGGGCUUGAAUUGCAACUGAAUGAUGUGGAGACAUGUCAGCCGCAAGGCAGUUGUGAAGGUGCUGCAUGGUUGUCGUCAGCUCGUGCCGUGAGGUGUCGGCUUAAGUGCCAUAACGAGCGCAACCCUUAUCGAUAGUUACCAUCAGGUUAUGCUGGGGACUCUGUCGAGACUGCCGUCGUAAGAUGUGAGGAAGGUGGGGAUGACGUCAAAUCAGCACGGCCCUUACGUCCGGGGCUACACACGUGUUACAAUGGGGGGUACAGAAGGCAGCUACACGGCGACGUGAUGCUAAUCCCGAAAGCCUCUCUCAGUUCGGAUUGGAGUCUGCAACCCGACUCCAUGAAGCUGGAUUCGCUAGUAAUCGCGCAUCAGCCACGGCGCGGUGAAUACGUUCCC